This 97-nucleotide ribosomal RNA is filed under the name Bacillus vallismortis. RNAcentral describes it as "partial 16S ribosomal RNA". It matches the Rfam family "Bacterial small subunit ribosomal RNA", at positions 1 to 94 of the family's 1533-position model. Lineage: Bacteria; Bacillati; Bacillota; Bacilli; Caryophanales; Bacillaceae. The record is from RNAcentral.
UUUAUGGAGAGUUUGAUCCUGGCUCAGGACGAACGCUGGCGGCGUGCCUAAUACAUGCAAGUCGAGCGGACAGAUGGGAGCUUGCUCCCUGAUGUUA